RNAcentral lists this ribosomal RNA (394 nucleotides) under uncultured bacterium. Its description in RNAcentral is "partial 16S ribosomal RNA". It matches the Rfam family "Bacterial small subunit ribosomal RNA", at positions 338 to 729 of the family's 1533-position model. The record is from RNAcentral.
CCUACGGGUGACUGCAGUGAGGAAUAUUGGUCAAUGGGCGCGAGCCUGAACCAGCCAAGUAGCGUGCAGGAUGACUGCCCUACGGGUUGUAAACUGCUUUUGUACAGGAGUAAAGGCAGGCACGCGUGCCUUUUUGUAUGUACUUUACGAAUAAGGAUCGGCUAACUCCGUGCCAGCAGCCGCGGUAAUACGGAGGAGGCAAGCGUUAUCCGGAUUUACUGGGUGUAAAGGGUGCGUAGACGGCAGUGCAAGUCUGGAGUGAAAUGCAGAGGCUCAACCCCGGGACUGCUCUUGAUACUGUACGGCUGGAGAGCAGGAGAGGUAAGUGGAAUGUCUGGUGUAGCGGUGAAAUGCGUAGAUAUUAGAAGGAACACCAGUGGCGAAGGCAGCUUAC